Non-coding RNA from Chiloscyllium plagiosum (whitespotted bambooshark), 413 nucleotides. Lineage: Eukaryota; Metazoa; Chordata; Chondrichthyes; Orectolobiformes; Hemiscylliidae. The record is from RefSeq and is a predicted model, not a curated record.
AAGCUUCAUUACUGUCUGAGAAAAUAAUUUUUUCUCAACCCUCUCUUAAAUGGGGUGACCCUUUGCUAAGUUCUUUACCUCAGGAUUGCCCUGAUAAUAACUGACAUUAUAGGAAUGAAUUGUUUAAAAAGUGACAAACUAGAUCUCUGCAGGUUUGAGAAAGAUUUCCAGGGAACCCAUAAGAGGGCUGCUAAUUUGGGAAAUUCAUGCAACUGUAUUAAUGGCUGCUCACCUGCUUGAUCAAAGUGCCACAUUUUAUUGGAACAUAAAAUAGGGAGCCGAAGUAAACUGUAUAAUCCAAGCCUCAUUGACCAUUCAAUACGUUCAGAGUGAAUCUUUCAUCGGAACUCCAUUUCUCCUACCUUUCCCAUGUCCAUGGAUUGUUUCUGUAAGAGAUCAAAAAUUUGUAUAUC